Molecule: long non-coding RNA, 2437 nt
Organism: Zea mays
Lineage: Eukaryota; Viridiplantae; Streptophyta; Magnoliopsida; Poales; Poaceae
Source: RefSeq, marked validated
GUUCAGGGUUCCGAUUUCCGCCCCACCAUCCGCCGCCGCCGACGAUGCUUCGUCGUUGCAUCCUUCGCAGCCCUUGCACUACGUACUAUCGUAGCCCUCUUUUCUUUAUAGCUUGUGUUGUCUAUUUUGAUUUGGUAAUUCAGGCCCCGUAGAAUGUUUUCUUUUGUUUUAUGCAUGCAAAGGUCGAUUUGGUGAUAGGAGCGGUGAUGAUUUUGUGGACUAGAGUUUCCGAUACUACCACGGUAGUAUUUGACGACCAAACCCUUGGCUGUCUGAGCUCCUAAAUCACAGUCUUCGACCACUUCGCUGUUUAUAUAUAUACAUGCGAGAUCUGCGGUCUUUAUUUUCUUCUGCAAUGCAAUGGUAUGAUGAGAUUACGGGUAAUGAAGAACAAGUGAGUUUUCGACUAGAGUCUCUGAUGCUGCUACUUUGUUGGCGGUAGUUGAAGACCAAACCCUUGGCUGUCUGAACUCAAUCUGAGCAUACUACUUGCUGGUUUCAUAGUAGUUAUAAAAAAUAUCUUUUGCUGCAUGCGUCCAUUACCAAUUCCGGAGGAUUAUUUCGUUCCUCACGGUAUAAUGGCUCGGACGCAACAAGCUAUUCUCUUGAUGUGUGGUUAUAUCCUGAUUGGUGGCGUUCUUAUGCCAAUCCGAUCUUGGAAAGGCCACAUAUAUUUUUUCAUUUGCAAAAAUCUGUAAACGUUUUUUUUUCUUAGUUACGUGAUCUAAAUGAUGUGAAACUUUGAAAGGGAAAGCACCCAAUCUGAUCGGUUGUGGUGUACCAUGACACUUCUUUCAUAUUGAAUAGGAAGAUCUGAUAGAUCCAUGAAACUUUUUUUUGUUGCUGUGCUCUGUUUAGAGAUGUUGAUGAUGAUAACACAAGUAAAAUACAGUUAUCCCUGUCUGAUUCCUUCAAAAGGGUGCUGAUUACGUUAUUCUGACACAUCUGUAUUUAUUAAAAAAAUUGUCGUGUUCCAUGCGCAUUUUAGUUUCGUUAAUUGGAGUAAAAGAUGACUGCUUUAAAGUUUCUCUGACCUUGGCCUAUGAUGACAUGAUUGUUUCAGAAGAAGCAAAUUUUUUGUCUAAUCUUGUUGAUAUUUAUCAUGAACUAGGACGGUCUGAGGCAAAUUUCUGUCUAAUUUGUUUUUUGUUUGUCUUUCCCACGAACUCUUUGAUUGAUUGGAUCUUGAGAGCUAUGACUUAUAAAGCAGUGUUCUUUCCCCAUCUUUUGAUUCUGAUUUGACCAUUGUUGGCUGUGUUGGAGGAUGAUGAUAUGGUUUUGUCGCCCCAGUCUUAGAUCCGGACUUCCGGACCUUUGCUGAUUGACAUGUUAAUUGAAUCUGACUCCAUUGUCUUAACUAUGUUUUUUAUCUGUUAGAUUCUUUAGGUGACAAUUUACAAUUGAUGCAUUUGACUGUUCCAGAUAUUUGUUGGUGCAUUGCAGAUGAUGAUAAAUCUGAGGCUUGUUUCUCUACAUUCGCAGUUGCCGCCUAAGAGCUUUCGCCUUGCCAGGCUUGAGAGCUAGUGCUGCUAAAUCCUUCCUUGGAUGUCUGAUGCGAUUCAAAUCCAAUUCUUUUGUGCUUUGGUUGUAGAGGGUUCCGUAGGUUUCGGUCUAAAAUCGUGUGCUUUGCAAGAUCAGCUUCUUGUUUGGACUUCGAAACUGAAACCUGGUCCAGGCAAUCGGCAAAUCAUCCUGCCAUCUUGCGAUACUGUAUCCAAGCCAGCUUAAACUCACCUGGAUCUGACGUCCUGAUUUUCUGGGCCCUUUCGGCUGGCACAUGCCUUCUGCUUCAGCCAUUUAUGCUUCUCUUUUCUGCUGUUGCUUGAACUGUGUACCUGAAUGUUUUACUGCUUACCCUAGCUAAAAUUUUCUUGAAUGGCUAUUUGCUAUGGCACACAGCAAAAGCUUAUGUUGCAAGGUCAUGUUUUGAAUUGAAGGCAUAACUCUUAUUUGAGAAUCCUGUAUUUUCUUGGCCCCACAAAUCAAGCUCCUGUAUUAGCUUUAUCAGUAAGCGAUUGUUUCUAGAUAUGGAUGUAAUGGAGCUUCUCCCAAAUAGCAAACAAGUUUCGGCUGCAUAACUCUUAUUUGAGAAGGAUGAUUUGUUUGGCGUGAGAUACUGAAGUCGUGGCUCCCUACCUUUAUCAGUAAUCAAAGGAUGCGCCAAAUGCUUGCAGACUCCAGUGAGCAGGACUGCAGUAUACACGUACAUUGAGGCAGUAAUAUUAAUGUUGAUAGAGAGAAUUAAAUACAUCUCUUUGUUUUUGAACUAGAGGUUUAUGCCUUGUAUACUGGGAGUAAGUAUUCUGUUGCUGCAAAUAGUACGUACAAAACACCCGACUCGGAUAUAAAGUGCCGUAGGGUACGGCACUGAGUAGAUGAAGAACAGAACUCGGUUACAUCCAUAAUUCGUAGCAAUAAAACAGUGCCCCGUUUAUUU